UAAUUUCACAGAUUUGUCAUAGCCAAUCAGAGAACGAGAAAAUUUUCACAAGUCACGUGACCUAACUGAAAAAUGUGAGGAAACUCCCUUCCGCUCACUUCCGCUUCCGGCCCGCUUUCAACGUCCACCGUUUUUUGAUCACUGUAGAUUUCUCUUCAAAUUUGGGUUGGUAGAACUGCGGCCGGUCGCCAUCUUGUUUGAGAAAUGCUACCUUCCGGCGACCACGCCCCAUCGUUCACAUCGAGCAGCAGAUUUUUUCCAAAUUUGAUUAAAAACAGAAGAAAAUGGAGAGAUAUAAUAAUGACUGAGGUAUUAUUUCCGGUCUUUUUCGGAAAAUGACGGAUGUUUGGAACUUGACCCGUCAGAGCAAUCACUCCAAAUUGGGAUCCCUCCAUCUAUUUGAAGAGAACUGACUGGAAAGAAAGAGAGACAGAGAUAAUAAUAAAGAAGGACAAGUAAUAUUGAUGGUUGUUGAUGGAUGUUGAUGGUUAAAAAACGUUUUAUAAAUGAUAUUAUGAUGUAGCCAGAAUGUCGUUCCGAAUAUCAUCGAUCGGAAUGUGGUGGAUGUCGUGAUAAAUACGUAAAGCAGUAAUCAUAGGGAGUAAAUCGAAUCUUCUUUUAAAAUCGCAAUCGCUUAGUAGGUAAAGUGUAUAUAUAAUUUUUUUUUUAGUCCGCGAAUUCGGGAGUGAAGUGCGCGUUAUAAAAAAAAUCGUACAAACUGAAAAUCUCCAUUGCAGUCAAUCAUUAAUUGGUAAGUUUUUUUUCUCACUAUUUUAGUCUAUUUUAAAUUACUGGUAUAUCAUAUCGUAUUCU
This is a long non-coding RNA of Leptopilina heterotoma, 813 nucleotides long. RefSeq lists it as uncharacterized. The transcript has 5 exons. The record is from RefSeq and is a predicted model, not a curated record. NCBI's taxonomy places the organism in Eukaryota, Metazoa, Arthropoda, Insecta, Hymenoptera, Figitidae.